CGUGUAUAAAUAAGCAAUCUCUGCAUCAAUAUUUCAUUCGUCAACUCGAAUUCUGUAGACAUGACUUCUACAAUAAUUCUGCUUUGCUUUCUUGCUGGAAUGGUUGCUGCUCAGGAAGUUGGGGAACCUAUACCACUUAGGCCAAAUAGAGAUUGUUACAUCAAAGAUGCAGCUUUUAUGUAUCAAGGAAAUGUCAGCGAGUCAAGUAAAAAUGCAAUCUGUCUCUUUUGGUCGGAUUAUAAAGAUACUGUAGACGAUAACUUUCCUGAUGACAACCAAAUGUCUGCUGAAAAUUUCUGCAGAGAGCCAACUGCAAAACGUGACAUGCCAUGGUGUUAUGUUAAAGAAGAAGAAUGGGAAUACUGUGCUGUAAAACAAUGCCCGGAAACUGAAACUGUCUUAGACUAAAGCUUUUUGCAAAACAAGAAAGAAUGAUGCAGUAAACAAAGAAAUGUAGUGUUGAAAUUAUUGUUGUAAUAUAUUUCAACAAAAUAAAUCAUCAAAAAUGAAA
This is a long non-coding RNA of Mercenaria mercenaria, 511 nucleotides long. RefSeq lists it as uncharacterized. The transcript is spliced from 3 exons. The record is from RefSeq and is a predicted model, not a curated record. Lineage: Eukaryota; Metazoa; Mollusca; Bivalvia; Venerida; Veneridae.